Molecule: ribosomal RNA, 253 nt
Filed under: uncultured bacterium
Lineage: Bacteria
Description: partial 16S ribosomal RNA
Rfam family: Bacterial small subunit ribosomal RNA
Source: RNAcentral
UACAGAGGCCUCGAGCGUUAGGCGGAAUCACUGGGCUUAAAGCGUGUGUAGGCGGACUUCUAAGUACCUUGUGAAAUCCCACGGCUCACCCGUGGAACUGCUCGGUAUACUGGUCGUCUUGAGCCUUCUAGGGGCGAGUGGAACAAAUGGUGGAGCGGUGAAAUGCGUAGAUAUCAUUUGGAACGCCAAUGGUGAAAACAACUCGCUGGGGAAGUGCUGACGCUGAGGCGCGAAAGCGUGGGGAGCAAACAGG